UACAGAGGGUGCGAGCGUUGUUCGGAAUUAUUGGGCGUAAAGGGCGCGUAGGCGGUGCGGUAAGUCACCUGUGAAAUCUCCUGGCUCAACUGGGAGCUUGCAGGCGAAACUGCCGUGCUGGAGUGUGGGAGAGGUGCGUGGAAUUCCUGGUGUAGCGGUGAAAUGCGUAGAUAUCAGGAGGAACACCGGUGGCGAAGGCGGGUCUCUGGGCCGAUACUGACACUGAGGAGCGAAAGCGUGGGGAGCGAACAGG
Molecule: ribosomal RNA, 253 nt
Filed under: uncultured bacterium
Lineage: Bacteria
Description: partial 16S ribosomal RNA
Rfam family: Bacterial small subunit ribosomal RNA
Source: RNAcentral